This 608-nucleotide ribosomal RNA is filed under the name Acinetobacter sp. OSR45. Its description in RNAcentral is "bacterial SSU rRNA". It matches the Rfam family "Bacterial small subunit ribosomal RNA", at positions 816 to 1448 of the family's 1533-position model. Lineage: Bacteria; Pseudomonadati; Pseudomonadota; Gammaproteobacteria; Moraxellales; Moraxellaceae. The record is from RNAcentral.
CUAGCCGUUGGGGCCUUGAGGCUUUAGUGGCGCAGCUAACGCGAUAAGUAGACCGCCUGGGGAGUACGGUCGCAAGACUAAACUCAAUGAAUUGACGGGGGCCCGCACAAGCGGUGGAGCAUGUGGUUUAAUCGAUGCAACGCGAAGACCUUACCUGGCCUUGCAUAGUAAGACUUUCCAGAGAUGGAUUGGUGCCUUCGGGACUUACAUACAGGUGCUGCAUGGCUGUCGUCAGCUCGUGUCGUGAGAUGUUGGGUUAAGUCCCGCAACGAGCGCAACCCUUUCCUAUUUGCCAGCGAGUAAUGUCGGGAACUUAAGGAUACUGCCAGUGACAAACUGGAGGAAGGCGGGGACGACGUCAAGUCAUCAUGGCCCUUACGGCCAGGCUACACACGUGCUACAAUGGUCGGUACAAAGGGUUGCUACCUAGCGAUAGGAUGCUAAUCUCAAAGCCGAUCUAGUCCGGAUUGGAGUCUGCAACUCGACUCCAUGAAGUCGGAAUCGCUAGUAUCGCGGACAGAAUGCCGCGGUGAAUACGUUCCCGGCCUUGUACACACCGCCGCACACAUGGAGUUUGUGCACCAGAGUAGCUAGCUAACUGCAAAGAG